CCUGGUUGUUGCUAGCCUUGAAGGCGAAACGCAGAGACUGCUUGAUCAGCACUCCGUUUGGGCCUUCUAGGAUUACUCCAGCACCACUCCCUUGCUGAUUGGAAGAACCAUCCACUGAUAGGACCCAGGGAAAGUCCAAACCCUCCGAAGGUGUCACGCCUGAUGACAACUCGACGACGAAGUCCGCAAACACCUGCCCCUUGAUCGGUC
This 210-nucleotide long non-coding RNA is filed under the name Phaseolus vulgaris (common bean). Its description in RNAcentral is "long non-coding RNA (PVUL_LNC003998)". Lineage: Eukaryota; Viridiplantae; Streptophyta; Magnoliopsida; Fabales; Fabaceae. The record is from RNAcentral.